UACGUAGGUCCCGAGCGUUGUCCGGAAUUACUGGGCGUAAAGGGUGCGCAGGCGGCCAUGUGCGUCAGAUGUGAAAUAUCACGGCUUAACCGUGAGGGUGCUUUUGAAACGGCGUGGCUUGAGUACGGGAGAGGAUGAUGGAAUUCCUGGUGUAGCAGUGAAAUGCGUAGAUAUCAGGAGGAACACCGGUGGCGAAGGCGGUCAUCUGGCCCGGUACUGACGCUCAGGCACGAAAGUGUGGGUAGCAAACAGG
Molecule: ribosomal RNA, 253 nt
Filed under: uncultured bacterium
Lineage: Bacteria
Description: partial 16S ribosomal RNA
Rfam family: Bacterial small subunit ribosomal RNA
Source: RNAcentral